RNAcentral lists this ribosomal RNA (467 nucleotides) under uncultured bacterium. RNAcentral's name for it is "partial 16S ribosomal RNA". It matches the Rfam family "Bacterial small subunit ribosomal RNA", at positions 28 to 507 of the family's 1533-position model. The record is from RNAcentral.
GACGAACGCUGGCGGCGUGCUUAACACAUGCAAGUCGAACGGAAAGGCCCCAGCUUGGUGGGGUGCUCGAGUGGCGAACGGGUGAGUAACACGUGGGUGAUCUGCCUUGCACUCUGGGAUAAGCUCGGGAAACUGGGUCUAAUACCGGAUAUGAACUGCUUCUAGUGUGGGGGUUGGAAAGUUUUUUCGGUGUUGGAUUGGCUCUCGGCCUAUCAGCUUGUUGGGGGGGUGAUGGGCUAUCAAGGCGUCGUCGGGGAGCCGGCCUGGGAGGGUGUACGGCCCCAAUGGGACUGAGGUUAGGCCCAGGCCCCCACGGGGGGCAAGAGGGGGGGAAAUUGCCAAAAGGGCGGGAGCCCGGUGCAGGGACGCCGGGUGGGGGAUGACGGCCUUCGGGUUGUAAACCCCUUUCGGCAGGUACCGAGCUGUUAGUGACGGUAACUGUAUAAGAAGCACCGGCUAACUACGUG